RNAcentral lists this unclassified non-coding RNA (146 nucleotides) under uncultured Mortierella. RNAcentral describes it as "sequence contains ITS1". The record is from RNAcentral. Lineage: Eukaryota; Fungi; Mortierellomycota; Mortierellomycetes; Mortierellales; Mortierellaceae.
UAAUAAAGUGUUUUAUGGCACUUUUUAAAUCCAUAUCCACCUUGUGUGCAAUGUCAGUCGAUCUUCUUCAUGGAGAUCGACCAAACAUCAACCUUUAUUUUUUAACUCUUUGUCUGAAAAAUAUUAUGAAUACUUAAUUCAAAAUA